This is a non-coding RNA of Lolium perenne, 2602 nucleotides long. Lineage: Eukaryota; Viridiplantae; Streptophyta; Magnoliopsida; Poales; Poaceae. The record is from RefSeq and is a predicted model, not a curated record.
UGCCCCGCGCAGGAACCCGGCACCCGGCACCCGCGCGGCCGAGCUGCACAAAAGUAAUGAGAAAACCCGCCGCUGUCGCCACGCCGACGCCGACGCCGGUCGCCGAGGAGGCGCGCGCGCCCCCAGUUCCAUUCCACCGACGCCGAUCACGUCGUCUCCUCCCCGUCCGGUGCCACUUUUUCUCCCCACCCACCCGAAGCGCAUCCAAAGCUCAAAACCCCGGGCGCUUGUCCCCUCUUUAUAUAACAACCCCAGACGUGCCUACCACGAGACGUCUUUUGACCUCCGUGAUUUUUUCCGCUGCCCCGCCCGCCACGGACGGAUGGACCUCAAGGAGCGGAUCCGCCGCUCGUCGUCGCAGCGGGAGGAGGAGGCGCUCGUGGCGGCGGCGGCGUCGCCGCGCGGGAGGAAGGGCGGGGCGGCGAUGCUGCUGCUGCGCUGGUCCGUCUCGGCCGGCGCGCUCCUCGUGUUCGGCGUCCUCCUGCUCCUGCUCGCCGGAGGCUCCGCGGCGCGGAGGGGCCAGUUCCUCGGCGCCGAUUCUUCCUGGGACGGUGGCCGCCACGAUCUGCGCCUCGUCCGUCCGCCUGAUGAAGAUGGCACUUCAGGAUCUCCGGAAGUUGUCAGGGACAAACUACUUGGUGGCUUGUUAGUUCCUGGUUUUGAUGCGCAGGCUUGCCUAAGUAGAUAUCAAUCAGCGCUGUAUCGUCGAACAUCACCCCACUUUCCAUCUACCUACCUCUUGGAAAGAUUAAGGGAACAUGAGGCUCUCCAGAAGAAGUGUGGUCCACAUACUGAAUUCUACAGGAAGGCUGUUGAGCAGCUUAAGUCUGGCCAGGAUAUUAAGGUUAUGGACUGCAACUAUUUGGUCUGGAUAGCUUACAGUGGUCUGGGGAACAGGAUCUUAACAAUUGCCUCAGCAUUUCUGUAUGCCAUCCUUACAAACAGAGUCUUGCUUGUUGAUGGAGAUAAAGGCACGGCGGAUCUUUUCUGCGAACCAUUUCCUGAAACUUCAUGGUUCUUACCGUCAGAUUUCCCUACCAAGCACUUAAAGAACUUCAGUGCUGGCUCUCCUGAGAGUUAUGGAAACAUGCUGAAAAGUAAAGCUCUUAAGUCUAGCCCUGCUUUUCUGUAUCUUCAUUUGGCUCAUGACUACAGUGACUUCGAUAAGCUUUUUUUCUGCGAAGAUAAUCAGCAAUAUCUUCAAACAAUCCCAUGGUUGAUCCUAAAAUCAGAUAAUUACUUUGUACCUUCACUUUUCCUGAUACCAGCAUACCAAGAGGAACUCAUGAAGCUUUUUCGCCAGAGAGACACUGUUUUCCAUCACUUGGGACGUUACUUGUUUCACCCUAGCAAUGUCGUCUGGGGCAUGGUUACAAGAUACUAUGAUUCUUAUCUUGCAACGGCUGAUGAAAAGUUGGGUAUCCAAAUCAGAGUCUUCGAUACUGAAACUGGUCCAUUUCAGCAUGUCUUGGAUCAGGUCCUUGCGUGCACGCUGAAGGAACACUUGUUGCCAGAGGUUAAUACUCAAGAGCUAGUUGUCCCAUCAAGGAAGGCCAGGUCGAAAGCUGUUCUAGUUACUUCUUUGAACUCAGGAUACUAUGAAAAAUUCAGAAACAUGUAUUGGGAACAUCCUACCACAAAUGGCGAGACAAUUAGUUUCCACCAGCCUAGUCACGAGGAGCAUCAGAACUCGGACAAGAAAAUGCAUAACAUGAAAGCGUGGGCAGAGAUAUAUCUUUUAAGCCUAUCUGAUGUUAUGGUUACUAGUGCAUGGUCAACUUUUGGUUAUGUUGCCCAGGGUCUCAGUGGUUUGAAGCCAUGGCUUCUGUUCAAGCCUGAAAACCGAACUGCCCCUGAUCCACCUUGCCGCCAAGUUUUGUCCAUGGAACCUUGUUUUCAUGCUCCACCUUUCUAUGAUUGCAAAGCUAAGAGAGGAGUUGAUACAGGAAAACUUGUCCCACAUGUAAGACAUUGCGAAGAUAUGAGCUGGGGUCUUAAGCUAGUUGAUCAGAGUUAGUGGUACACAUGAACCGCAGACUUGCUCAGAUGAAUGGCAUUGAAUCUUCAUUUUGGAGCAUGUUGCAGCACUUACCCUGGCUGUAAGCCUUCAAGUGAGGCUUCUAUCCCAAGGAAUGUCCCUUCCUUUGCUUGUGAACCUGGAUGAAGAAAGUCCAUAUACCUCUUGGUCUCGACAAAUCUGUCGAGGAUCAGAGUAAUGAUAGAAACAGAACGUUUCAGUUGGAUGCGAAAUUACCCCAUCAAGAGAAGCUGGACAAAGAAGAGAGCUGUGGUGUUGGCGAAGUCAAAUUUUGUAGCACCUGCUUCAAACCACACCGGUAGGUUGCUGAUUCCUGAUACUCGGAUCAACUACAAAGAAAAAUGUCAAUUUGAUUCCAUUCUCCACUGUGCUUUUUUCCCGAAAUGGAGGAUGAGGCACGGGGUCUCAUCCUUCAUUUCGAAAAAAAGCACAGUGGAGCAUGGAUGACAUUGAUUUCAUGUUUUGGCUUCUGUAAGUGACGAUGCUUCAAUGUCCUAAGAAUGCUAUCAUGCUAGCAAUCAUUAGAACCACCAAAUAUUUUCGGUGUCUGAAAGUAACCUCUAG